This 253-nucleotide ribosomal RNA is filed under the name uncultured bacterium. Its description in RNAcentral is "partial 16S ribosomal RNA". It matches the Rfam family "Bacterial small subunit ribosomal RNA", at positions 524 to 776 of the family's 1533-position model. The record is from RNAcentral.
GACAGAGGCCUCAAGCGUUAGGCGGAAUCACUGGGCUUAAAGCGUGUGUAGGCGGAUCGUUAAGUGUCUUGUGAAAUCCCACGGCUCACCCGUGGAACUGCUGGGCAUACUGGCGAUCUUGGGCCAACUAGGGGCAACUGGAACAAGCGGUGGAGCGGUGAAAUGCGUAGAUAUCUGGAGGAAUACCGGUGGCGAAGGCGGCAUCCUGGACCGACAUUGACGCUGAGGAGCGAAAGCUAGGGGAGCAAACGGG